Non-coding RNA from Paramuricea clavata, 1309 nucleotides. Lineage: Eukaryota; Metazoa; Cnidaria; Anthozoa; Malacalcyonacea; Plexauridae. The record is from the annotation of a GenBank genome assembly.
CGUUGAGUAGCUUUUCGCUUUAAAAUGUUUUGGUGUCAGAGCCAGGUGAAAUGUCCCGUACAACAAAUAUCCAACAAGUCGUAUCUUCAAGUACUGUGCAUCUUUCUUAAUUUUCAAGUCUUCCACAUUGAAUUUUCAGAAUACAUAACGACGCAACUGUAGACGUUUUAACUUUGGUAACUGAAUUGAAUUGUUUCAUUUUGGAAUAUUCAUUGACAUAAGAUGAUACAUCAUUCAAUAUAAUUAUCCACCAAUGUUGUCAGCCAGCAAAUGAAAGGCAUAUUAUUGUAUACUUCUGAUAUCUGUAAAUAUUAAUGCAACGGUAUUAGUGGAUGCAAUUAUGUAUAAUGUAACAUGGAUUUCAUAAGCCAUACAGUCCGAGCUUUUCCCGCGACAUGACUAGAUGUUAAUAAGACGUAGCAACAUACCAAAAUUGUUCUAUUUUUAGUACUUUUGUUAAAUGAAGUUAUCGUUAAUGUGACCAUGUUAAUGUAUAAAGAUAUCUAAAAAAGAAAAAAAACAAUUAAACACAUAAAUACAGGAAAGAGAGAGGGGAAGCGAGAGAGGGGAAAGGAGAGAGGGGAAAAGAGAAAAAGAAAACUUACCUAAAUGUAGCCAACGUCCACACAAGGACUUAUUUUUAUAACAUUGCGAGUGGCACAGCGGCUUGUCUUAAUAAUAUUGGCAGUGGACUGCGGCUUGUCUUAAUAACACUGGGAGUGGCGCAAUGGCUUUCCUUAAUAACAUUCGCAGUGGCACAAUGCCUUGCUAUCUUUGCGAUACCUUAAUUGAACGGUAUAUAAUUAUUAUUCCUAUGUCCUAAAGGAAGCCCAUAUUGCUUUAUGAUCACUAAAGUAAGUUUCUAGGAUACCAGCUUCAAUUUCCUCUUCAAUUAAAUUUGUGUAUAAAUGAUCAAUUAACGUUCUGUUGUCGGUUGUAAAGCCUGUUAUCAGUUGCCUGUAAUGAUUUUGUACAACCAUCAAAUUGUAGAGUGACUGUCGAUCAGAUUCUACCAUCCAGUUGACAUUGAAAUGUCCAAUUAUAAUGUUUUGUGCAGAAGAAUCUUCAUCAAGUACGCUACGUAGUGAAGACAGUAGACGUGAUAUAGCAAUACUGGGUGAGCGAUAUACUCCAAUUAUACUUAGAUGCGGAUUACUUUCUGUUUUAAUAAUUGUAAACUCGAUUUCAUUGACGUUGUGAGUAUAAGGGUAUCCUUCUUUUAAAGGGACUCGACUAUAAACAGCUGUUCCACCGUAUGGACGUCCUGGACCCGUACCUUGGGAAACAUCAUUUCUGAACAACCUGUAGC